This 1486-nucleotide ribosomal RNA is filed under the name metagenome. RNAcentral's name for it is "bacterial SSU rRNA". It matches the Rfam family "Bacterial small subunit ribosomal RNA". The record is from RNAcentral.
AGAGUUAGAUCCUGGCUCAGGAUGAACGCUAGCUACAGGCUUAACACAUGCAAGUCGAGGGGCAGCAUGGUCUUAGCUUGCUAAGGCCGAUGGCGACCGGCGCACGGGUGAGUAACACGUAUCCAACCUGCCGUCUACUCUUGGACAGCCUUCUGAAAGGAAGAUUAAUACAAGAUGGCAUCAUGAGUCCGCAUGUUCACAUGAUUAAAGGUAUUCCGGUAGACGAUGGGGAUGCGUUCCAUUAGAUAGUAGGCGGGGUAACGGCCCACCUAGUCUUCGAUGGAUAGGGGUUCUGAGAGGAAGGUCCCCCACAUUGGAACUGAGACACGGUCCAAACUCCUACGGGAGGCAGCAGUGAGGAAUAUUGGUCAAUGGGCGAGAGCCUGAACCAGCCAAGUAGCGUGAAGGAUGACUGCCCUAUGGGUUGUAAACUUCUUUUAUAAAGGAAUAAAGUCGGGUAUGGAUACCCGUUUGCAUGUACUUUAUGAAUAAGGAUCGGCUAACUCCGUGCCAGCAGCCGCGGUAAUACGGAGGAUCCGAGCGUUAUCCGGAUUUAUUGGGUUUAAAGGGAGCGUAGAUGGAUGUUUAAGUCAGUUGUGAAAGUUUGCGGCUCAACCGUAAAAUUGCAGUUGAUACUGGAUAUCUUGAGUGCAGUUGAGGCAGGCGGAAUUCGUGGUGUAGCGGUGAAAUGCUUAGAUAUCACGAAGAACUCCGAUUGCGAAGGCAGCCUGCUAAGCUGCAACUGACAUUGAGGCUCGAAAGUGUGGGUAUCAAACAGGAUUAGAUACCCUGGUAGUCCACACGGUAAACGAUGAAUACUCGCUGUUUGCGAUAUACAGCAAGCGGCCAAGCGAAAGCGUUAAGUAUUCCACCUGGGGAGUACGCCGGCAACGGUGAAACUCAAAGGAAUUGACGGGGGCCCGCACAAGCGGAGGAACAUGUGGUUUAAUUCGAUGAUACGCGAGGAACCUUACCCGGGCUUAAAUUGCAGAUGAAUUACGGUGAAAGCCGUAAGCCGCAAGGCAUCUGUGAAGGUGCUGCAUGGUUGUCGUCAGCUCGUGCCGUGAGGUGUCGGCUUAAGUGCCAUAACGAGCGCAACCCUUGUUGUCAGUUACUAACAGGUUCCGCUGAGGACUCUGACAAGACUGCCAUCGUAAGAUGUGAGGAAGGUGGGGAUGACGUCAAAUCAGCACGGCCCUUACGUCCGGGGCUACACACGUGUUACAAUGGGGGGUACAGAGGGCCGCUACCACGCGAGUGGAUGCCAAUCCCAAAAACCUCUCUCAGUUCGGACUGGAGUCUGCAACCCGACUCCACGAAGCUGGAUUCGCUAGUAAUCGCGCAUCAGCCACGGCGCGGUGAAUACGUUCCCGGGCCUUGUACACACCGCCCGUCAAGCCAUGGGAGCCGGGGGUACCUGAAGUGCGUAACCGCGAGGAGCGCCCUAGGGUAAAACUGGUGACUGGGGCUAAGUCGGAACAAGGUA